RNAcentral lists this ribosomal RNA (449 nucleotides) under uncultured bacterium. Its description in RNAcentral is "partial 16S ribosomal RNA". It matches the Rfam family "Bacterial small subunit ribosomal RNA", at positions 29 to 523 of the family's 1533-position model. The record is from RNAcentral.
AACGAACGCUGGCGGCAGGCUUAACACAUGCAAGUCGAACGAUGUAGCAAUACAUAGUGGCGCACGGGUGAGUAACGCGUGGGAAUAUACCUUAUAGUGGGGAAUAACUUUGGGAAACUAAAGCUAAUACCGCAUACGCCCGAGAGGGGAAAGAUUUAUCGCUAUAAGAUUAGCCCGCGUGAGAUUAGGUAGUUGGUGGGGUAAUGGCCUACCAAGCCUACGAUCUCUAGCUGGUCUGAGAGGAUGAUCAGCCACACUGGAACUGAGACACGGUCCAGACUCCUACGGGAGGCAGCAGUGGGGAAUAUUGGGCAAUGGAGGAAACUCUGACCCAGCCAUGCCGCGUGAAUGAUGAAGGCCUUAGGGUUGUAAAGUUCUUUCGCCGAUGAAGAUAAUGACGGUAGUCGGAGAAGAAGCCCCGGCUAACUUCGUGCCAGCAGCCGCCGUAA